Molecule: ribosomal RNA, 465 nt
Filed under: uncultured Klebsiella sp.
Lineage: Bacteria; Pseudomonadati; Pseudomonadota; Gammaproteobacteria; Enterobacterales; Enterobacteriaceae
Description: bacterial SSU rRNA
Rfam family: Bacterial small subunit ribosomal RNA
Source: RNAcentral
CCUACGGGCGGCUGCAGUCGGGAAUAUUGCACAAUGGGCGCAAGCCUGAUGCAGCCAUGCCGCGUGUGUGAAGAAGGCCUUCGGGUUGUAAAGCACUUUCAGCGGGGAGGAAGGCGGUGAGGUUAAUAACCUCAUCGAUUGACGUUACCCGCAGAAGAAGCACCGGCUAACUCCGUGCCAGCAGCCGCGGUAAUACGGAGGGUGUAAGCGUUAAUCGGAAUUACUGGGCGUAAAGCGCACGCAGGCGGUCUGCCAAGUCGGAUGUGAAAUCCCCGGGCUCAACCUGGGAACUGCAUUCGAAACUGGCAGGCUAGAGUCUUGUAGAGGGGGGUAGAAUUCCAGGUGUAGCGGUGAAGUGCGUAGAGAUCUGGAGGAAUACCGGUGGCGAAGGCGGCCCCCUGGACAAAGACUGACGCUCAGGUGCGAAAGCGUGGGGAGCAAACAGGAUUAGAUACCCGUGUAGUC